RNAcentral lists this ribosomal RNA (287 nucleotides) under uncultured bacterium. RNAcentral describes it as "partial 16S ribosomal RNA". It matches the Rfam family "Bacterial small subunit ribosomal RNA", at positions 123 to 406 of the family's 1533-position model. The record is from RNAcentral.
AACCUUCCCAAAACAGGUGAAUAGCCCUCCGAAAGGAGGAUUAAUACACCGUACCAUAUUAGAGUGGCAUCACAUUAAUAUUAUAGAUAGCAAUAUCGGUUUUGGAUGGGCGUGCGGCUGAUUAGGUAGUUGGCGGGGUAACGGCCCACCAAGCCUCCGAUCAGUAACUGGUGUGAGAGCACGACCAGUCACACGGGCACUGAGACACGGGCCCGACUCCUACGGGAGGCAGCAGUAAGGAAUAUUGGUCAAUGGACGCAAGUCUGAACCAGCCAUGCCGCGUGCAG